UUUAAAUAUAAAUUACUAAGAAAAAAAAACAUUUUUCUUUUGCAUAGUAGUUUCAAAGCUAUAUGAAGUCAAAGUUCAGUUGUAAACUUUUGAAAGAACAACCAUCAUGUUUUGUUGAGUGUUA
Gopherus evgoodei (Goodes thornscrub tortoise) is the source of this 124-nucleotide long non-coding RNA. RefSeq lists it as uncharacterized. NCBI's taxonomy places the organism in Eukaryota, Metazoa, Chordata, Testudines, Testudinidae. The record is from RefSeq and is a predicted model, not a curated record. The transcript is spliced from 3 exons.